This 77-nucleotide transfer RNA is filed under the name miscellaneous Crenarchaeota group archaeon SMTZ-80. RNAcentral's name for it is "tRNA-Ser". Lineage: Archaea; Thermoproteati; Candidatus Bathyarchaeota. The record is from RNAcentral.
GCGCGUCGUAGUCUAGCCUGGUUUAGGACAUUACUUUGAAAGCCAAUAACCCGGUUUAAAUCCCGGCGACCGCACCA